GCUUAUCGAUGCCUAUUUGGGUGGACUUGUGUCUUAGGUGGACUGUCUACUCCAUUUGGUGAAUUUAUGCCUUAGAUGGCUUUGUUUACGUCCCUUGGGCAAACUUAUGCCUUAGGUAAGUUUUCAACACCACUUGGCAGGCUUGCCAUCACCUUUUUAGGAGGAUUUGUGCCUUAGAUGGCUUAUCAACACCUAUUUGGGUGUACUUAUGCCUUGGAUCGUUUGUGAACGCCUUCAUGGCG
RNAcentral lists this unclassified non-coding RNA (242 nucleotides) under Hevea brasiliensis (rubber tree). Lineage: Eukaryota; Viridiplantae; Streptophyta; Magnoliopsida; Malpighiales; Euphorbiaceae. The record is from RNAcentral.